AGACUGCACCUUCUGUUUAAAACUUUGCACCCCAAAAUCAACAACGCAUUGGUGUUUUUAAUACUUCUAUCAAGAUUCACAGUGCUUACAACGAACAAAGCCAAUCAACUUUAAACAAUGGGAAAAACGAGAAGAUGCUUCAUGCUCGUGGCUGGCUGGACUAACUUUAUAAGUCAACCAUUGUACUGCCCUGAUGUGUCCACUGUUGACUCAGGCUAUCACGGUCUUAGGGAGGGAUUAAGGUUUUCUCCCAAAUCCAGGCCUGCCUGUCCGGUGGUCAUCUUUUGUUAUGAGAUUGGCUGGAGAGCACUCAGAAGCUUUGUGAGCUUGACAGCGUCCAGUGAGUUGGCUGACAAAGGUGGAGGAUACAAAGAGCCAUCUAGAACCUCCGAAUAAUAGUUUCAGGCAACACGGUUGAAGUCCUCAGAGAAUAACAGGCCUGAAAAGGAGCGAAAUAACUUCAAACCACCACCUCGGUCCUGAUAAACACCUUAGACUGCCAGAAAUUCUCACAAACCGUUUCAUGGAUACAGGCCUUGAUCUCAUCAUCAUUCCAGGAAAAAACAAACAAAACGUGGGUGAAAUAACCCUGCGGCUCCCUCACAGCUCCUGAGACAGUGCCUGCGUUAGGGAAGCUCAAGUGUGAAAAAACAAUGCGGAUUUCCUCCCAGUUGGCAGGACAAAGCAGUUUUCAGAUAAAGUCCAUUGACGGAGGAGAGACAACAAACUUCCGUGACCUUGAUUGAACUUCCUUCGUGGUGAGGAGAAGCCAGCGGACACAUUCCCAGAACCACAGCCAAGGAUGGAGGAAGCAGCUCCAGGAGCCCGGGAGAAAGAGCUGAGGAAGGACCACGUGCACCUGUGCACGCCGGCAAGGCAGUGAGUGGGAAGAUAAUACGUGCUACCAGACAGCAAGUGGCCUUGAGUCCCCAUAGGCUCCUUCCUGUGUUACAUAACAUCCUAACGAGGUUACAGCCAGAGCCCAAACAGCGUUUAUUGAGCUGUGAAUUGCACUCACUCCACAGCCCGGAUGAAAUGAUGGUCAGUCCAUUUUUACUACGCCCGUGGUACAGAUCGAACGGCUUGCACAGCCCAAUGAAAAUGAUGGUCGAUUGUUUCCACAUCAAGUCUUGUGCUCUGAUUUCCCCUGAAGUAUCCAACUGGAUUGUCAGCUUCAAUCUCCUUCUCUCCUUCGGUUUAGAGGAUUCAAAACCUCUUUAUAUUCAGGGAGAGUUAGGAGGAAGGGGAGGGGAAAUAGGGUAGCAGAAAAAGAAAACCUGCAAACUGGGCAACCAGGAGAGAAAUUUAUAAGAAUAAUUGGUUUAAAAAAGUACUCCUCACGCCCUGGCCAGUGUGGCCAAUGUGGCCAGUGUAGCCAGUGUGGCCGGGGCCUCGUCCUGUAACCCAAAGAAUGUGGGUUCAAUCCAGGGUCAGGGCACAUACCCAGGUGGUAGGUUCAGUUUCCCCAUCUGGGAGCAUAGGACCCCCCAUCUGGGCAGGUAUGGGAGGCAACCAACUGAUGUUUCUCCCUCUCCCUCCAUCUCUCUCUAAAAGCAAUGAAAAAAAGUCCUCAGGUGAGGAUAAAAAAAUUAGAAAUAAAAAAAAUUACUCCUCAUGGAUCAGAUUAAUUAAUCAACGUCAAAAGCAGGACAGUCAUGUUCUUAGUUACUCAACAAAUGUUCAUUGACUGCUGAGCGCUUGCUACAGCCUAGAGGGGAGCUUGUGUCUAAGACUUUCUCCCUCCUUCAUGACCAGGUUCAACACACCACCCGCCCUCCCCUUGGGCUCCACCCUCUGCCUCUGCCCAGGUGCUACUACAUCCGUGCAUCCUCCCAGGCUGGUGUCCUAAGUCCACCGGCUCUUCUUACUAGUUCACUGACUCUGCUCCCGACCCUGCUUUGGGCCCCCUCUUGUC
Phyllostomus hastatus (greater spear-nosed bat) is the source of this 1915-nucleotide long non-coding RNA. RefSeq lists it as uncharacterized. NCBI's taxonomy places the organism in Eukaryota, Metazoa, Chordata, Mammalia, Chiroptera, Phyllostomidae. The transcript has 3 exons. The record is from RefSeq and is a predicted model, not a curated record.